GUACUAGUAAUUUGCCAACAAUUCCAUCUAAAUAUGGCGUUAAAAUAUCUGGAGUGCAGUUCUCACUGAAGUUGAGCACAGCUGAAGCAGCAUGUGCCUGUAGAAAUUCGAACAACAAUGGAAAACCAUUAUUAACUAUCAUUCAAAGUAAAGAACGAGAAAAUUAAAAAUAAAAUAAUCUUGAGCACUGAGCCACUGAAGCAAAAUGCAAUUGUUUGUUCAACAAAAAAUGUAGCCAAUUGAUUGAAGGUUUAACAUGCACACAAAAUAAUGUUAAGUAUAAAGCAGGGUGUGGGGUCAGGAAGAAAACCACUUAUGUCAAAAGAAAAAAGAACCGUAAAAAUUUUUUUCAAUGUAAAUAUCAAAAACUAUUUUAAAAAAAAAAUCCUUCACAGUCAGAAGUUUGCUGUAGAAUUCUAUAUAAAUAUUUGACUACAAAUCUAAUAACUCAGAAGAUGGAUAUUUAGCACAUAUUUGAAAGUCAAUACAUAAACCAAUAUUUAAAAGACAUAUAGAAAACAAAAUAUGGGGCAGAAAGACUAAAUUGGCAGCCAAGUCUUUUAUAAUAAAGAAAAUGGAAAACAGAUUUAGAAGAGAUCAGAACACGAAUAUGUGGUUCAUUCCUUGUUAAGGGGGAGCGGAAUGCAAGGACUCCUUCAAAAGUGGGCUGACAUGAGGAGUGUAUGAAGAGAUUGUUACAACGGACCACUUUAUGAAGAAAGAUCAUUGUUGCCCGUGCAACCUCAACAAGGAAUUGUCCAACGAGAUCCUAAUUCAUUGUGGUAAAACUAGUAUUCCCUCUACAAUCUCAUGGAUGAUCCCUUGGCUGGUGAAGAUGGUUUUAAUUAGUUGGCAGGGAGUUUUUUGGGCAAGAAGAGUAAAAGGAAGUGGAGAACAGCCUCCUUGUCUUGGAGCAUAUUGCAUGAGUGGAGUUACAAAAUCUGUAAGAAUUGAACCCUUAAGAUUAAGCUGUGAAAGAGUCUUUUCUCAGAUCUUUGUUCGAGGCAUCCUUCAGGGUCAUUAUCCAUCUUUCAUUUAUUGUUUAGUGAGGAGUUAGAUAGGCCUUUUAUCUUCUUUUCUAGCAAUUUGACACCCUUUUAUAAUUCCCGUGUUCAUGGUGUACUUCCCUUUUUGCUAGGCGCCUUCUAAUAAAAUUUUAUUUUCCUAUUAACAAAAAAGUCACAGCUACAACCAAAAUCUCUAGCAACCAAUUCCCUAAUGAAUGACCUACCUAAUUCUAUGUAAUUUAUUUGAUAAAGUCAUAUUGGUUCUAACAUGUUCAAUCACCAUGGCAAUCCAACCUGAAGUUUGAUAUAUUAAGGCAUAAAACAAAUUUAUGAUGCAAUUAACUAGAUCUUCAAAAAAGGAAAUAAUGAAUAAAUAAAUAAACAAAAAAAGUUACUUCCAGCAUAACAUGCACUCCAUGAUUGGCAAACCAACAAGGUAUCAUGCUCCAUCAAAGUAAAAUACAAUCAGGUAAUUCUGAAAGAAACAAGACUAUGCAGUUUCUAACAAUCAUAUUGUCUACUACUAAAUUGUUAACAUUCUAGAACAAUAAAAUUUAGCCAUUCAAAUUUCCCACUUUGUUUCCUUUAAUAUUUUCUCUAAAGACAAUGUAUUAAAAAAAAAAAAGUUGAUUCAAAACUUCAUAAAAAUAAAUAACUUACUCAAGAAAAGGAGCUAAAAUCUAUCACUCUAAAAGCCCAAAAAUACAAUUUUAAAUCCCCAUCAAGUGCUAUCCAUCUUUUUUCCUCUCUACCGCAGUAACCAUAGCAUUCAUGGUUGUCAACUAGUAAAACAUAUCAUGUAUCUAAUAAGUCUUUUUGGAAUGUUAGAAACUAGAUAGGAGAAAAAAAUAUUUCACAUAUAAAAUGUGCAGCACCUUUUAUCAACUAUUUCACACAUACAUACAAAAAUUACCCAAUCAAUAUAUCAAAAGGAUACUAUAAGCAUGUAGAAGCACCUUUUAUCAACUCAUUUUUAAUACAAGAGGGAAGAAAAAUGGAAGGUACCCAGAGG
This 2019-nucleotide long non-coding RNA is filed under the name Vitis vinifera (wine grape). RNAcentral describes it as "long non-coding RNA (VVIN_LNC001655)". The record is from RNAcentral. Lineage: Eukaryota; Viridiplantae; Streptophyta; Magnoliopsida; Vitales; Vitaceae.